Choloepus didactylus (southern two-toed sloth) is the source of this 107-nucleotide small nuclear RNA. The record is from RefSeq and is a predicted model, not a curated record. NCBI's taxonomy places the organism in Eukaryota, Metazoa, Chordata, Mammalia, Pilosa, Megalonychidae.
UUUCUCCCUUCUGCAGCACAGAUACUAAAAUGGGAAUGAUACAGAGAAGACAAGCAUGGCCCUUAAGCAAGGAUGGCAUGCAAAUUUGUGUAGUAUUCCACAUUUUU